Molecule: ribosomal RNA, 253 nt
Filed under: uncultured bacterium
Lineage: Bacteria
Description: partial 16S ribosomal RNA
Rfam family: Bacterial small subunit ribosomal RNA
Source: RNAcentral
UACGGGGGGUGCGAGCGUUGUCCGGAAUCACUGGGCUUAAAGGGCGCGUAGGCGGUCUGCCAAGUCCGGGGUGAAAGCCCCCAGCUCAACUGGGGAAGUGCCUUGGAUACUGGCGGACUCGAGGGAGGCAGGGGUUGUGGGAACUUCCGGUGGAGCGGUGAAAUGCGUUGAUAUCGGAAGGAACGCCGGUGGCGAAAGCGCACAACUGGUCCUCUUCUGACGCUGAGGCGCGAAAGCCAGGGGAGCAAACGGG